This is a long non-coding RNA of Drosophila subpulchrella, 390 nucleotides long. RefSeq lists it as uncharacterized. NCBI's taxonomy places the organism in Eukaryota, Metazoa, Arthropoda, Insecta, Diptera, Drosophilidae. The record is from RefSeq and is a predicted model, not a curated record. The transcript has 3 exons.
GUAACUUCUGAGUCACAUUUGGACGAUAGAAAGACGAUAGUACACAUUUUACAAAAACAAAAAGAAUCGGGAUCGCGAAGAAGUAACUUCUGAGACACUUCCGCGCGAUAAAAAGACGAUAGUACGUGCCAAAUUACGUGCUUAUCGUGAGCUGUACGAUUAUUUAAACCUUUUUACGGACAAGCUAGCUGUGCACAUUACUUGGCGUGUAACUGCGGAGAAACCCAGCAUCCAACGAUUCUCAACAUAUUUAAUUGUAAAAGAAAUGGUUAUUAAUAAAUUUCUUAUGUCGACGGAGCUGGACCUAAAGAACAUUGCUUAGCAAAAUUUCCUACAUGCCAGGCACCGUGUAUACAAGCGGACAAAGCACGUAUACAAAAAAUAAAUGCA